RNAcentral lists this transfer RNA (85 nucleotides) under Tigriopus japonicus. RNAcentral describes it as "tRNA-Glu". The record is from RNAcentral. Lineage: Eukaryota; Metazoa; Arthropoda; Copepoda; Harpacticoida; Harpacticidae.
GUUUUUAUGGUGUAACUAACAUAUUGAAUUUUCCUUUCAAAGAUUUUUUAAAAAUUAGUCCUAUUUACUUAGGGUUUUGAAAACC